This 274-nucleotide ribosomal RNA is filed under the name uncultured bacterium. RNAcentral describes it as "partial 16S ribosomal RNA". It matches the Rfam family "Bacterial small subunit ribosomal RNA", at positions 523 to 796 of the family's 1533-position model. The record is from RNAcentral.
AUACGGAGGGUGCGAGCGUUAAUCGGAAUUACUGGGCGUAAAGCGUGCGUAGGCGGUUUGCUAAGUCAGAUGUGAAAGCCCCGGGCUUAACCUGGGAACUGCAUUUGAUACUGGCAGACUAGAGUAUGAUAGAGGGGGGUAGAAUUCCUGGUGUAGCGGUGAAAUGCGUAGAUAUCAGGAGGAAUACCAGUGGCGAAGGCGGCCCCCUGGAUCAAUACUGACGCUGAGGUACGAAAGCGUGGGGAGCGAACAGGAUUAGAAACCCUAGUAGUCC